RNAcentral lists this ribosomal RNA (468 nucleotides) under uncultured bacterium. RNAcentral's name for it is "partial 16S ribosomal RNA". It matches the Rfam family "Bacterial small subunit ribosomal RNA", at positions 28 to 507 of the family's 1533-position model. The record is from RNAcentral.
GACGAACGCUGGCGGCGUGCUUAACACAUGCAAGUCGAACGGAAAGGCCCUGCUUUUGUGGGGUGCUCGAGUGGCGAACGGGUGAGUAACACGUGAGUAACCUGCCCUUGACUUUGGGAUAACUUCAGGAAACUGGGGCUAAUACCGGAUAGGAGCUCCUGCUGCAUGGUGGGGGUUGGAAAGUUUCGGCGGUUGGGGAUGGACUCGCGGCUUAUCAGCUUGUUGGUGGGGUAGUGGCUUACCAAGGCUUUGACGGGUAGCCGGCCUGAGAGGGUGACCGGCGACAUGGGGACUGCGAGACGGCCCAGACGCCUACGGGAGGCAGCAGUGGGGAAUAUUGCAGAAUGGGCGGAAGCCUGAGGCAGCAACGCCGCGUGCGGGAUGACGGCCUUCGGGUGGUAAACCGCUUUCGCCUGUGACGAAGAGUGAGUGACGGUAAUGGGUAAAGAAGCAACGGCUAACUACGUG